RNAcentral lists this ribosomal RNA (253 nucleotides) under uncultured bacterium. RNAcentral describes it as "partial 16S ribosomal RNA". It matches the Rfam family "Bacterial small subunit ribosomal RNA", at positions 524 to 776 of the family's 1533-position model. The record is from RNAcentral.
UACGGGGGGGGCAAGCGUUGUUCGGAAUUACUGGGCGUAAAGGGCUCGUAGGCGGCCAACUAAGUCAUACGUGAAAUCCCCCGGCUUAACCGGGGAACUGCGUCUGAUACUGGACGGCUUGAGUUCGGGAGAGGGAUGCGGAAUUCCAGGUGUAGCGGUGAAAUGCGUAGAUAUCUGGAGGAACACCGGUGGCGAAGGCGGCAUCCUGGACCGAUACUGACGCUGAGGAGCGAAAGCCAGGGGAGCAAACGGG